UUUUAUUCAAGCUUAUGGUUAAUCAUUGCUGAUUGCCAUGAAAAUUGUACUCUGUACAUCUUGCAUGUAUAAGUCAGGUAUGAAAGGCUGAUCACCUUCAUUACCAGUUGGUUCAGAAAUGUUUGUUCAUGUUUAAAACUUGUUCAGUCAAAAGUUUGUUCCUGCUAGUUCUCAAUUAUAUUGAUGAAUUAUAGCCAGCUUAUUAUUCAUACUCUUCAAUCAUGAUAUAUCCUUAUAUUGUUGUAUUUAAACUUGCUGGGCAACUUUCAUGCUCACCCUUGCUAUAUCAUGAUAAAACAUUGCAGAUAAGGCAAAUGCGUUCGGAUACAGGAAAAGAUUAAGCCAAGUUCAACUUGGGAUAAAUUGUGCGGCUAUUUUGUAAUAGUAUAGUUUGAUAAAUGUGAUAAAUGUUAGAUCAUUUAUGAUUGUGUAAUAAGUAAAGGUUACUCGACCUUGGGGAAUAGUGUGUAAUGUAAUGUAUAAACAAUUUAUGUUUAUAUCUUCCGCAAACAGUUAUAGAAUGUUUAGUGUACCGAAUCCGCGGCGAUUUGGGCCCGGAUUCGGGGAUGCUAUAUUUAUGAACCCCUCAGUGAACGGACGCCAAACGUCAGACUAGGAUAAGUUCUUAAACUCAUAUGAUUGUGGCAAUUUAUGGACUCAUAAGUGUGGUUUUAUGAACUGGCUAUAGUUGUAUGUGAAUGGAGUGUUAAGGAUUAUAGGAACAGAUAUAUUGUUAAGCAAAUGAUCAUUAGUGGAGACUUAGGUUUUCCUAAACUCCUAGGUAUGCUAAACUUUGAAAUUUUGACAUCAAGCUAAAUACGCACUAUGUGCCUUUGAAAAAAAAAUUGUAGACUCGUAACGAUUUUUGAAACGGUUUAAAAUACAGUCUAUGCUACUUAUUUCAGCUAGACUCAAAUGAUUUGAAAUAUCAAAAUGUAUUUUAAUUAUCGCUCAUGUACCAUGUUACCUGGUGCAGAGAUGAUAAAAAUGUGAUGAAGUUGUAAAUACAGGAAUACUUAGAGUGAAUUUGACCUAAAGUCGUUGUUCCUCUAUUGUAUGAUGUGUUAUGACAAAGUCAUACAAUGACGGCAUCCUCAAACGGACUGUUAAUACAGUACGACAUCAUGGCGUCAUUCUCGAAAAUGUUUUUAAAAAUUUUAAUUUGCCAACGGGGUUUGGCUACACCUAAAUAAUUCGAUUGAAUUGAAUUAUCAAUAUGAGUCUAUGCUAUUUGAUUCAGCUAGACUAAUGUUAUGAAAACUCUAAGUGUUCAUUGAAAAAAAAAAUUCCCGAACCAAAUUGCUUUGGUGCGGAAUCCUAUGAUAAGACUGAGGUGAACAAUGAUGUUUGGAUAAAUAAUCCAAUAUAGUAGCGUAAAUAUUCGCUAAAAAUGAUUAAUACGUUAUGCAUGACGUACGAGUACGAAAGGCUGAUCACCUAAAGUACUAACAACGGUAGUUUACCUUCUUUGUGAUUGUAAACAGACCAAGUAAUGUAUUGUUUUGCGGUAUGAUCAAUACCGUUAAAUCUAUGUGUUCAUGGUCUAUAUGACCCCUCAGCACAAUUUGAAACAUUUUACUCUUGUGAGUGGUGUAUUGGGUAGUGUGUGAUAUGUGUGAAUGGUGUAAGGUGCACGGUGUAAGGUGUAAGGUGAAUUUCGGGGACAAAAUUCUUAUAAGGAGGGGUGAAUGUGACAACCCGAGAAUUUGGACAAUUUAUUAAAAUCUUAAAUUAUUGAUUUAAGAUCAAAUAAUAGACCUAGACAGAAAAUAAGUGUAUGCAUUUGAUGUUACUGGGAUUGAAUUUUGAGUGUUUCAAAAUUCGGUGAAGGAUUUAGGUGAAUUAUUCAGGAUUAAGGAUUUAUGUGAAUAUGUGUUGUGUUUAUGGUUAUGUAAGUGUACAGAAUGUGGUUAAGGGUCAUGGGUUGACCAGAUAAAUUAUAUACGUGUCAAACCCUAAUCGUAUAUUAAGAACGCCAACGUUCAGUUAGAAAACUUUAACGUCUGAUAAGAAACCCUAAAAAUUGGUUCUAGAAACCCUAGUUUCAGUUUCGGGAGUCCGAAACCCUAAUUCGGAUAUUAAAAACCAUAAAUUGGGAAUGCAAUGCUAUGUACAAGGUUUAACGUUAUUAAUUAUAAAUUAAUUAGGAAAAACCCUAAUGAAUUACCUGAAACCUUAAUUGUUUAUUAGAAAACCCUAAUACCCGAUGUGGAAACCCUAAUUUUAGAUUUCUGAUAAUUUGAAACCCUAAUCUGGGAAUAGAAAGUAUAAUUAUAAUGCUUAUGUGGUAUUAAUUAUACUACUAACUAGGGCAAAGCUUAAUUAAUUAGCAAACUCUAAUUCUUGAUUUUGAACCCUAAUUAUUCCGUCAGAAACCCUAAUUGUACAGGGGUGGAUUUAAUUGCUAAAAUAGAAAUAUUAAUUGGGAAAAUAUUAAUCCUAAUUGGUUUAAGACCUAAUGUAAUUAGAAAAUUAUACUAAUGAGGAAGCCCUAAUUAUAAUUUAGAAAUCAUGAUUUUCUAUUUUAAAAUUAAUUAGAAAAUCUUAGAAUUAUAAUUGCUAAAUUCUUUAGGGUUAAAACCUAAACCCUAAAGGGUUAAACCCUUAACUCUAAAUGCUCCAAACCCUAAACCCUAGCAAACCCUAAACCCUAAGGGUUUGGCCAAUUACAAGAAUGCCAUUAAAAUAAAAAUUAAAAAGACCAAAAUUCCCUUUGUGUAUUAUUUAUUAUGUUACUUGUAGAUCUAAACCUAUGGUGAGUUGCUCACCAAACCCUAGAUUAGCAUGUGACUAAAAAUCCAUACAAAUCAGCUAACAACAACUCCCAUCAGCCACAUUCAUUGAAUUCCAUAAAUAUUUAAGACUAAAAGAGAGAGAAAAGUUCAUUCUAUAUUUCAUUUUUUUGCCAACCUCUUCUCUCUCUAGAAUUUCGUGUAUGAGUGUGAGAGUGGGUGAGAAACAAAGAAAUUAUCAGCUUUUAACAUGUACAAGAUCAGAUCAAAGGACCAGAAAUCAAAAUCAAGUUCAAAAGGUAUAAACACCCUAAUUCUAGAAAUCCUUUGAUUUGAUGUUAUAUGUUAUAAUUGAUUGGUUAAAGUUGUGUAUUAGGGUGUCAUUUGAUGAUCUGGGUUGUAAAAACCUAGAUCCAUAACAUCAAAGUUCACGAAAUUGCAUUUUUAUGAAAUCUGGAAAAGUGGAAAAAAGUGAACUGACAGUCGAAUGUCAGAGGCUUUAGAUCCGUGUGUGUUUGAUGAUUUGGGUAUGUGAUGUUAUAAAUUUGUUCUAUGCAAUGUGGUCUUUCAUUUCCAACUUGAAUCAACCUUAUAGCAUGUCUAGAUCGUAAGUUACAAGCGGUCAAAGAUCGUUGACCGAUCACAUUUUCUGGAUUUCUGGGCAAACCCAAAACCCAGAUCGCCUGACAACGUUGUCUGUGCUCUUGAUCUUGUUGUGGUGUAAGUUUUGGGCGAAGUGGUGGUUUUGAUGUUGUUUGCUGUUAUAUGGACUACAUAAAUAAGCUUUUAGAUCACUUAAAUCAUAACCAGGAUGAAAGUUAUAAUAGGUCAAACAUGCGUUGACCACCAACUUUGAAGAAAUUCUAGGAAAACCCAGAUUGUUCAAGAACAGAUUUUCAGGUCUACUUUGACCGGCCCAUAUUUUUCGUAGGUUAAGUUUUUAGGUUGGACUGAUGUUAUAUGUAUGUACCAUGUCAUGUUUACUACAACAUGGAACCUUUAUAUAAACCAAAUCGAACACAGAACGCAAAAUUAGAAUGGUUCAAAAUCGUAUCUUCAAUUCUGGAAAUUCCAGAAAACGAAGAACAACGUUGUUAGACUUUUCGAUGUCUAAUAACUCUUAGAUCUGAUGUUUUUUAGCCAUGAUGUUUGUUAGUAAUUGUAGUGUUGCAUGAGUACUACAGGACCUAUAUGUUAGAUUGCCCAGAAACUUCAUGGAUUGAAAAUUAUAACCGGUAAAACCUACCACCUUCAUCACUACCUUGUCAGUGUUCUUGAGGCUCAAGAACACCUAAGGCGACGGUUGUAUGUCGCUAAGGAAGCCCUAAUUAUAAUUUAGAAAUCAUGAUUUUCUAUUUUAAAAUCUAAUUAGAAAAUCUUAGAAUUUUAAUUGCUAAAUUCUUCAGGGUUAAAACCUAAACCCUAAAGGGUUAAACCCUAAACUCUAAAUGCUCCAAACCCUAAACCCUAACAAACCCCAAACCCUAAGGGUUUGGCCAAUUACAAGAAUGCCAUUAAAAUAAAGAUCAAAAAGACCAAAAUGCCCUUUGUGCAUUAUUUAUUAUGUUACUUGUAUAUCUAAACCUAUGGUGAGUUGCUCACCAAACCCUAGACUAGCAUUUGACUAAAAAUCCAUACAAAUCAGCUAACAACAACUCCCAUCAGCCACAUUCAUUGAAUUCCAUAAAUAUAUAAGACUAAAAGAGAGAGAAAAGUUCAUUCUAUAUUUCAUUUUUUUGCCAACCUCUUCUCUCUCUAGAAUUUCGUGUAUGAGAGUGAGAGUGCGUGAGAAACAAAGAAAUUAUCAGCUUUUAACAUGUACAAGAUCAGAUCAAAGGACCAGAAAUCAAAAUCAAGUUCAAAAGGUAUAAACACCCUAAUUCUAGAAAUCGUUUGAUUUGAUGUUAUAUGUUAUAAUUGAUUGGUUAAAGUUGUGUAUUUGGGUGUCAUUUGAUAAUCUGGGUUGUAAAAACCUAAAUCCAUAACAUCAAAGUUCACGAAAUUGUAUUUUUAUGAAAUCUGGAAAAGUGGAAAAAAGUGACAUGACAGUCGAAUGUCAGAGGCUUUAGAUCCGUGUGCGUUUGAUGAUUUGUGUAUGUGAUGUUAUAAAUCUGUUAUAUGCCAUGUGGUCUUUCAUUUCCAACUUGAAUCAAUCUUAUAGCAUGUCUAGAUCGUAAGUUACAAGCGGUCAAAGGUCGUUGACCGAUCACAUUUCUGGAUUUCUGGGAAAACCCAGAAACCCAGAUCGCCUGACAACGUUGUCUGUGCUCUUGAUCUUGUUGUGGUUUAAGUUUUGGGAAAAGUGGUGGUUUUGAUGUUGUUUGCUGUUAUAUGGACUACAUAAAUAAGCUUUUAGAUCACUUAGAUCAUAACCAGGAUGAAAGUUAUAAUAGGUCAAACAUGCGUUGACCACCAACUUUGAAGAAAUUCUAGGAAAACCCAGAUUGUUCAAGAACAGAUUUUCAGGUCUACUUUGACCGGCCCAUAUUUUUCGUAGGUUAUGUUUUUAGGUUGGACUGAUGUUAUAUGUAUGUACCAUGUCAUGUUUACUACAGCAUGGAACCUUUAUAUCAACCAAAUCGAACAUAUAACGCAAAAUUAGAAUGGUUCAAAAUAGGUAUCUUCAAUUCUGGAAAUUCCUGAAAACGAAGAACAACGUUGUCAGACUUUUUGAUGGCUAAUAACUCUUAGAUCUGAUGUUUUUUAGCCAUGAUGUUUGUUAGUAAUUGUAGUGUUGCAUGAGUAGUACAGGACCUAUGUGUUAGAUUGCCCAGAAACUUCAUGGAUUGAAAAUUAUAACCGGUAAACCCUACCACCUUCAUCACUGCCUUGUCAGUGUUCUUGAGGCUCAAGAACACCUAAGGCGACGGUUGUAUGUCGCUAAAGGCUUUAGCGACGGUUUUAAUUAUUUUUAUUUUCUGGAAAUUCUGAAAAUGAAUUAAUAAUUAGGAAAAUUAGAUUUUUAAUUAUUAAAAAUACAUAUUAAAUUCUGAAAAAAUUAUUUUAAAGUCUGAAAAAUAGUUUUUAACUAUUUUGAGUAUAUUUCAAAAAUAUUUAAUAUUUUUGGAAUAUAAAAGUUAUUUAUUUAAUUAAUUAUUAUAUUAAAUAAAUUAUUUAAAAAUGGUUUUAAUUCAUGAAAAAUCAUGAAAAAUUAUUUUAUGAUAUUAGAAAAUAUUUUAAGUUAUUUUUGAUGACUUUUGAUAUUUUGUGAUGAAAUACAUUAAUAUUUUAAUAUUAAUGAUAAUUAUUUUAUUUAAUAAUUAUAUUAAAUAAAUUAUAGAAAAAUAUAAUUAAUGAUUUAAAAAUCAUAUAAAAAUGAUUUAAGUGUUAUAAAAAUAUUUUAAGUUAUAAAAUAUAACUUUUGAUAUUUUGACAGACUUUUUGAUGGCUAAUAACUCUUAGAUCUGAUGUUUUUUAGCCAUGAUGUUUGUUAAUAAUUGUAGUGUUGCAUGAGUACUACAGGACCAUUGUGUUAGAUUGCCUAGAAACUUCAUAGAUUGAAAAUUAUAAUCGGUCAAACCUACCACCUUCAUCACUGCCUUGUCAGUGUUCUUGAGGCUCAAGAACACCUAAGGCGACGGUUGUAUGUCGCUAAGGAAGCCCUAAUUUUAAUAUAGAAAUCAUGAUUUUCUAUUUUAAAAUCUAAUUAGAAAAUCAUAGAAUUUUAAUUGCUAAAUUCUUUAGGGUUAAACCCUAAACUCUAAAUUCUCCAAACCCUAAACCCUAAUAAAGCCUAAACCCUAAGGGUUUGACCAAUUAUAAGAAUGCCAUUAAAAUAAAAAUCAAAAAGACCAAAAUGCCCUUUGUGCAUUAUUUAUUAUGUUACUUGUAGAUCUAAACCUAUGGUGAGUUGCUCACCAAACCCUAGACUAGCAUGUGACUAAAAAUCCAUACAAAUCAGCUAACAACAACUCCCAUCAGCCACAUUCAUUGAAUUCCAUAAAUAUAUAAGACUAAAAGAGAGAAAAGUUCAUUCUAUAUUUCAUUUUUUGCCAACCUCCUCUCUCUCUAGAAUUUUGUGUAUGAGAGUGAGAGUGGGUGAGAAACAAAGAAAUUAUAAACUUUUAACAUGUACAAGAUCAGAUCAAAGGACCAGAAAUCAAAAUCAAGUUCAAAAGGUAUAAAACACCCUAAUUCUAGAAAUCCUUUGAUUUGAUGUUAUAUGUUAUAAUUGAUUGGUUAAAGUUGUGUAUUAGGGUGUCAUUUGAUGACCUGGGUUGUAAAAACCUAGAUCCAUAACAUCAAAGUUCACGAAAUUGCAUUUUUAUGAAAUCUGGAAAAGUGGAAAAAAGUGAACUGACAGUCGAAUUUUAGAGGCUUUAGAUCCGUGUGUGUUUGAUGAUUUGUGUAUGUGAUGUUAUAAAUUUGUUCUAUGCCAUGUGGUCUUUCAUUUCCAACUUGAAUCAACUUUAUAGCAUGUCUAGAUCGUAAGUUACAAGCGGUCAAAGGUCGUUAACCGAUCACGUUUUCUGGAUUUCUGGGCAAACCCAGAAACCCAGAUCGCCUGACAACGUUGUCUGUGAUCUUGAUCUUGUUGUGGUUUAAGUUUUGGGCGAAGUGGUGGUUUUGAUGUUGUUUGCUGUUGUAUGGACUACAUAAAUAAACUUUUAGAUCACUUAGAUCAUAACCAGGAUGAAAGUUAUAAUAGGUCAAACAUGCGUUGACCACCAGCUUUGAAGAAAUUCUGGGAAAACCCAGAUUGUUCAAGAACAGAUUUUCAGGGCUACUUUGACCGGCCCAUAUUUUUCGUAGGUUAAGUUUUUAGGUUGGACUGAUGUUAUAUGUAUGUACCAUGUCAUGUUUACUACAACAUGGAACCUUUAUAUCAACCAAAUCGAACACAGAACGCAAAAUUAGAAUGGUUCAAAAUAGGUAUCUUCAAUUCUGGAAAUUCCAAAAAACGAAGAACAACGUUGUCAGAAUUUUUGAUGGCUAAUAACUCUUAAAUUUGAUGUUUUUUAGCCAUGGUGUUUGUUAGUAAUUGUAGUGUUGCAUGAGUACUACAGGACCUAUGUGUUAGAUUGCCCAGAAACUUCAUAGAUUGAAAAUUAUAAUCGGUCAAACCUACCACCUUCAUCACUGCCUUGUUAGUGUUCUUGAGGCUCAAGAACACCUAAGGCAAUGGUUGUAUGUCGCUAAGGAAGCCCUAAUUUUAAUUUAGAAAUCAUGAUUUUCUAUUUUAAAAUCUAAUUAGAAAAUCUUAGAAUUUUAAUUGCUAAAUUCUUUAGGGUUGAACCCUAAACUCUAAAUGCUCUAAACCCUAAACCCUAAUAAACCCUAAACCCUAAGGGUUUGGCUAAUUACAAGAAUGCCAUUAAAAUAAAAAUCAAAAAGACCAAAAUGCCCUUUGUGCAUUAUUUAUUAUGUUACUUGUAGAUCUAAACCUAUGGUGAGUUGCUCACCAAACCCUAGACUACCAUGUGACUAAAAAUCCAUACAAAUCAGCUAACAACAACUCCCAUCAGCCACAUUCAUUGAAUUCCAUAAAUAUAUAAGACUAAAAGAGAGAAAAGUUCAUUCUAUAUUUCAUUUUUUGCCAACCUCUUCUCUCUCUAGAAUUUUGUGUAUGAGAUUGAGAGUGGGUGAGAAACAAAGAAAUUAUAAACUUUUAACAUGUACAUGAUCAGAUCAAAGGACCAGAAAUCAAAAUCAAGUUCAAAAGGUAUAAAACACCCUAAUUCUAGAAAUCCUUUGAUUUGAUGUUAUAUGUUAUAAUUGAUUGGUUAUAGUUGUGUAUUAGGGUGUCAUUUGAUGACCUGGGUUGUAAAAACCUAGAUCCAUAACAUCAAAGUUCACAAAAUUGCAUUUUUAUGAAAUCUGGAAAAGUGGAAAAAAGUGAACUGACAGUCGAAUUUUAGAGGCUUUAGAUCCGUGUGUGUUUGAUGAUUUGUGUAUGUGAUGUUAUAAAUCUGUUCUAUGCCAUGUGGUCUUUCAUUUCCAACUUGAAUCAACCUUAUAGCAUGUCUAGAUCGUAAGUUACAAGCGGUCAAAGGUCGUUGACCGAUCACGUUUUCUGGAUUUCUGGGCAAACCCAGAAACCCAGAUCGCCUGACAACGUUGUCUGUGCUCUUGAUCUUGUUGUGGUUUAAGUUUUGGGCGAAGUGGUGGUUUUGAUGUUGUUUGCUGUUAUAUGGACUACAUAAAUAAGCUUUUAGAUCACUUAGAUCAUAACCAGGAUGAAAGUUAUAAUAGGUCAAACAUGCGUUGACCACCAGCUUUGAAGAAAUUCUGGGAAAACCCAGAUUGUUCAAGAACAGAUUUUCAGGGCUACUUUGACCGGCCCAUAUUUUUCGUAGGUUAAGUUUUUAGGUUGGACUGAUGUUAUAUGUAUGUACCAUGUCAUGUUUACUACAACAUGGAACCUUUAUAUCAACCAAAUCGAACACAGAACGCAAAAUUAGAAUGGUUCAAAAUAGGUAUCUUCAAUUCUGGAAAUUCCAGAAAACGAAGAACAACGUUGUCAGACUUUUUGAUGGCUAAUAACUCUUAGAUCUGAUGUUUUUUAGCCAUGAUGUUUGUUAGUAAUUGUAGUGUUGCAUGAGUACUACAGGACCUAUGUGUUAGAUUGCCCAGAAACUUCAUGGAUUGAAAAUUAUAACCGGUCAAACCUACCACCUUCAUCACUGCCUUGUUAGUGUUCUUGAGGCUCAAGAACACCUAAGGCGACGGUUGUAUGUCGCUAACGGCUUUAGCGACGGUUUUAAUUAUUUUUAUUUUCUGGAAAUUUCGAAAAUGAAUUAAUAAUUUGGAAAAUUAGAUUUUUAAUUAUUAAAAAUACAUAUUAAAUUCUAAAAAAUUAUUUUAAAGUCUGAAAAAUAGUUUUUAACUAUUUUGAGUAUAUUUCGAAAAUAUUUAAUAUUUUUGGAAUAUAAAAGGUAUUUAUUUAUUUAAUUAUUAUAUUAAAUAAAUUAUUUAAAAAUGGGUUUAAUUCAUGAAAAAUUAUUUUAUGAUAUUAGAAAAUAUUUUAAGUUAUUUUUGAUGACUUUUUAUAUUUUGUGAUGAAAUUCAUUAAUAUUUUAACAUUAAUGAUAAUUAGUUUAUUUAAUAAUUAUAUUAAAUAAAUUAUAGAAAAAUAGAAUUAAUGAUUUAAAAAUCAUAUAAUUAUGAUUUUAAGGUAUUAAAAAUACUUUGAUAUAUUAUAAUUAUAUUAUAAUAUUAUGUUAUGAUUUUCAUUAAUAUUUUAUAUUAAAUGAAUAUUAAUGAUUAAUGAAUUAUGUGGUAUUUAAUUCAUAUAAAUACGAUAUUAAUGAUUGGAAAAUCAUGAUAAAUGUUAAUAAUUAUCCGAAAAUUAUUACGAGCCUAGGAAAAAUGUUUUGACUGAUAAGAAAUUAUCUGUGAUAAUUGUUAAGGGUUUUGGCAGAGUUUAAUUGAACUUAAACUCGAUAUUCGUCCGACUAGACCGUCGGGAUGAUAAAAUUAUGUCGGUUUCAACUCAGACUUAAAUAGUUUGACUUGAUGCUAUGUCUUAUGUGCUGUAUAGACUGAUAGGCUUAUGUGUUAUGUGUUUAGGUUAUUCUGUGUAUAUAAAUAUAACAGUAUUAUAUUGUGAUGAUAUUAUUCUAAUAUUGGAGAUCUAUAUUAUUAAUAUUAGGUAUUCGGAUAAAGCGUUAUAAAUUGCGUUGCGGUAAUCAACGGUUCAGGCAAGUUUGUUUUUACUUAACUCUACUAAGAGUGUUUUAUUCAAGCUUAUGGUUAAUCAUUGCUGAUUUCCAUGAAAAUUGUACUCUGUCCAUCUUGCAUGUAUAAGUCAGGUAUGAAAGGCUGAUCACCUUCAUUACCAGUUGGUUCAGAAAUGUUUGUUCAUGUUUAAAACUUAUUCAGUCAAAAGUUUGUUCAUGCUAGUUCUCAAUUAUAUUGAUGAAUUAUAGCCAGCU
Molecule: long non-coding RNA, 10606 nt
Filed under: Panax ginseng (ginseng)
Lineage: Eukaryota; Viridiplantae; Streptophyta; Magnoliopsida; Apiales; Araliaceae
Description: long non-coding RNA (PGIN_LNC012084)
Source: RNAcentral